UGGGGAAUAUUGCACAAUGGGGGAAACCCUGAUGCAGCGACGCCGCGUGAGUGAAGAAGUAAUUCGUUAUGUAAAGCUCUAUCAGCAGGGAAGAAAAUGACGGUACCUGACUAAGAAGCCCCGGCUAACUACGUGCCAGCAGCCGCGGUAAUACGUAGGGGGCAAGCGUUAUCCGGAUUUACUGGGUGUAAAGGGAGCGUAGGCGGCAAGGCAAGCCAGAAGUGAAAGCCCGAGGCUCAACCACGGGACUGCUUUUGGAACUGUCUAGCUAGAUUGCAGGAGAGGUAAGUGGAAUUCCUAGUG
Molecule: ribosomal RNA, 303 nt
Filed under: uncultured bacterium
Lineage: Bacteria
Description: bacterial SSU rRNA
Rfam family: Bacterial small subunit ribosomal RNA
Source: RNAcentral